This 206-nucleotide ribosomal RNA is filed under the name uncultured bacterium. Its description in RNAcentral is "partial 16S ribosomal RNA". It matches the Rfam family "Bacterial small subunit ribosomal RNA", at positions 568 to 774 of the family's 1533-position model. The record is from RNAcentral.
UGCGCAGGCGGUUUUGUAAGACAGAGGUGAAAUCCCCGGGCUCAACCUGGGAACUGCCUUUGUGACUGCAAGGCUGGAGUGCGGCAGAGGGGGAUGGAAUUCCGCGUGUAGCAGUGAAAUGCGUAGAUAUGCGGAGGAACACCGAUGGCGAAGGCAAUCCCCUGGGCCUGCACUGACGUUGAGGCUCGAAAGCGUGGGAGCAAACA